This 253-nucleotide ribosomal RNA is filed under the name uncultured bacterium. Its description in RNAcentral is "partial 16S ribosomal RNA". It matches the Rfam family "Bacterial small subunit ribosomal RNA", at positions 524 to 776 of the family's 1533-position model. The record is from RNAcentral.
UACGUAGGGUGCGAGCGUUGUCCGGAUUUAUUGGGCGUAAAGGGCUCGUAGGCGGCCUGUCGCGUCGGGAGUGAAAGCCCACUGCUUAACGGUGGGUCUGCUUCCGGUACGGGCGGGCUAGAGUAUGGCAGGGGAGACUGGAAUUCCUGGUGUAGCGGUGGAAUGCGCAGAUAUCAUGAGGAACACCGGUGGCGAAGGCGGGUCUCUGGGCCAUUACUGACGCUGAGGAGCGAAAGCGUGGGGAGCGAACAGG